UCUAACAUUACACUUCACACUAAAGUGAGAAACACUCAUUUCUUUCCUCUAAUUCUUCAACUUGUUACACAUUAUUGUUCAUAAUAUUUAUGAUUCGGUUUAUAUCAGCAAUAUGGAAGAAGCACUAGCAAGAAGACUUGUUCUUUAGGCUUUUAAGGAUAUGCAGCUUGCCAUUGAUUAUUGCUUAUUCCAGGUGUUUUGCUGCCGCAAUCUCGUCGGAGCCUAGCGUUGUGGUCUUCUUCAUCUUCACACUUCAACUCAGGCUCUUUCUGCCCCUUAAACAGGAGCUUCAAGGAAAUCACCACCUUUUGCUUUGAUUGCUUGUAGAAAGAAGGUUUUUCAGUCGCAAUUAACACGGAAAAUAAAAAUUUGACUGGAACUGCAAGAUAUGCUAGCAUGAAUACUCACCUUGGCAUUGGCUUUGUGUCGGGGUUAUCCAACAGAAUUUGCAUCAUACUUCCAUUACUGUCGCUCACUAAGGUUUGAUGAUAAGCCAGAUUACGCUUAUCUCAAAAGGAUAUUCCGUGACCUGUUUAUUCGGGAAGAAACAAACAAAAUUGGCCCAAGAUGAGAACCUUUUCCUAGAAAACAUUCUACGGCUGCUACUUCAAGAAUUUGUGAUGAGGACAACAAGAAGGAUUCUUCUAUAUCUAUUAUGGUUUGUUUCAUGAAUUCACUUUGAUCGGGAGAAGGAGAAAGAUGCUGAGUCUGAUGCUGUUGUCAAAGACAGAAGCGUUUCAGCUGUCUUGCUUGCAGGAGGGAAGGGCAAGAGGAUGGGAGCUAAUAUGCCAAAGCAGUACCUUCCUCUGUUGGGUCAACCCAUUGCACUCUAUAGUUUCUUGACUUUUUCUCACACGCCUAAAGUCAAAGAAAUCGUUGUUGUUUGUGAUCCUUCCUACAGGGACAUUUUCGAAGAUGUGAAAGGAAAUUCCCAAGCAAAACUCAAAUUUGCACUGCCAGGAAAAGAAAGACAGGAUUCUGUUUACAAUGGCUUUCAGGAUAUUGAUUCUAACUCUGAGCUUGUUUGCGUCCAUGAUUCUGCAAGACCUUUUGUGCUACAAGGAGAUGUGAAAAAUUUUGGUCCAUAUAUAUACAUGAUAACACUAAACACUAAAUAGCCAAAACCCCCCACUAUUCAUUUUACAAACAUUUCAAUCUCACCUCACUUUCAUUAUCACAAUCUCACCUCACUUUCAGUAUCACAUACCAGUAUUAAUGUAGAAAAUACAGCUGAUUAAAUGUAAUAAUAUACUGUAUAUGAUUAUGUAUCUCACAUAUAUACAUGAUAAUUAGAAUUGGUCCCUAUUUGUACCAAUUUUUAUUCAUUACAUGUUAAUUUCUGGCACAUGAUUUGUCUUUUGGAGAAAACCACUAUUGCAUAACUUUAGUGAUUGUAUAUAUUGUUUAGUAUUUAGUAGAAGCAAUACAUAUCUAGAGACUACAAAAUUAUUAUUUUUUUAUUUUUUAAACAAUUUUCCUGCGGAUUUACCUGCGUAAUUUUCCUGCGGAUUUACCUGCGGAAUUUUCCUGCGGAUUUAUCUGCGGAAUUACCUGCGGAACUUUCUGCCGAAAAUAUUACCCACGAAGGUUUUAGCUGGGGACAAUAAACCGCAGGAAAAUCCGCAGGUAAAGUGUUUCCU
Molecule: RNA transcript, 1640 nt
Organism: Vicia villosa (hairy vetch)
Lineage: Eukaryota; Viridiplantae; Streptophyta; Magnoliopsida; Fabales; Fabaceae
Gene name: 2-C-methyl-D-erythritol 4-phosphate cytidylyltransferase, chloroplastic-like
Exons: 12
Source: RefSeq, a predicted model, not a curated record